GCAAGUCGAACGGCAGCACGAACUUCGGUUUGGUGGCGAGUGGCGCACGGGUGCGUAACGCGUAUGCAACCUACCCUUAACAGGGGGAUAGCCCGGAGAAAUUCGGAUUAAUACCCCAUAGUAUCACAAGAAGGCAUCUGAAGGUGAUUAAAGAUUUAUUGGUUAAGGAUGGGCAUGCGUGACAUUAGUUAGUUGGUGAGGUAACGGCUCACCAAGACGAUGAUGUCUAGGGGUUCUGAGAGGAAGGUC
Molecule: ribosomal RNA, 249 nt
Filed under: uncultured bacterium
Lineage: Bacteria
Description: partial 16S ribosomal RNA
Rfam family: Bacterial small subunit ribosomal RNA
Source: RNAcentral